GAUGAACGCUGGCGGCGUGCCUAAUACAUGCAAGUCGAACGCGAUAGUUUACUAUCGAGUGGCGAACGGGUGAGUAAGACAUAAGUAACCUGCCCUAGACAGGGGGAUAACUAUUGGAAACGAUAGCUAAGACCGCAUAGGUACUUUCUUCGCAUGAAGAGAGUAUUAAAAGUGCAUUAAAGCACUGGUAGAGGAUGGACUUAUGGCGCAUUAGCUAGUUGGUAAGGUAAAGGCUUACCAAGGCGACGAUGCGUAGCCGACCUGAGAGGGUGACCGGCCACACUGGGACUGAGACACGGCCCAGACUCCUACGGGAGGCAGCAGUAGGGAAUUUUCGGCAAUGGGGGGAACCCUGACCGAGCAACGCCGCGUGAAGGAAGAAGGUUUUCGGAUUGUAAACUUCUGUUAUAAAGGAAGAACGAUAUAUAUAGGAAAUGAUAUAUAAGUGACGGUACUUUAUGAGAAAGCCACGGCUAACUACGUGCCAGCCGCCGCAGUAACAC
RNAcentral lists this ribosomal RNA (503 nucleotides) under uncultured bacterium. Its description in RNAcentral is "bacterial SSU rRNA". It matches the Rfam family "Bacterial small subunit ribosomal RNA", at positions 28 to 526 of the family's 1533-position model. The record is from RNAcentral.